GACGAACGCUGGCGGCGUGCCUAAUACAUGCAAGUAGAACGCACAGUUUAUACCGUAGCUUGCUACACCAUAGACUGUGAGUUGCGAACGGGUGAGUAACGCGUAGGUAACCUGCCUGGUAGCGGGGGAUAACUAUUGGAAACGAUAGCUAAUACCGCAUAAUAUUGAUUAUUGCAUGAUAAUUGAUUGAAAGAUGCUAUUGCAUCACUACCAGAUGGACCUGCGUUGUAUUAGCUAGUAGGUGAGGUAACGGCUCACCUAGGCGACGAUACAUAGCCGACCUGAGAGGGUGAUCGGCCACACUGGGACUUAGACACGGCCCAGACUCCUACGGGAGGCAGCAGUAGGGAAUCUUCGGCAAUGGACGAAAGUCUGACCGAGCAACGCCGCGUGAGUGAAGAAGGUUUUCGGAUCGUAAAGCUCUGUUGUAAGAGAAGAACGGGUGUGAGAGUGGAAAGUUCACACUGUGACGGUAUCUUACCAGAAAGGGACGGCUAACUACGUG
RNAcentral lists this ribosomal RNA (505 nucleotides) under uncultured bacterium. RNAcentral's name for it is "partial 16S ribosomal RNA". It matches the Rfam family "Bacterial small subunit ribosomal RNA", at positions 28 to 507 of the family's 1533-position model. The record is from RNAcentral.